RNAcentral lists this ribosomal RNA (468 nucleotides) under uncultured bacterium. RNAcentral describes it as "partial 16S ribosomal RNA". It matches the Rfam family "Bacterial small subunit ribosomal RNA", at positions 28 to 507 of the family's 1533-position model. The record is from RNAcentral.
GACGAACGCUGGCGGCGUGCUUAACACAUGCAAGUCGAACGGAAAGGCCCUGCUUUUGUGGGGUGCUCGAGUGGCGAACGGGUGAGUAACACGUGAGUAACCUGCCCUUGACUUUGGGAUAACUUCAGGAAACUGGGGCUAAUACCGGAUAGGAGCUCCUGCUGCAUGGUGGGUGUUGGAAAGUUUCGGCGGUUGGGGAUGGACUCGCGGCUUAUCAGCUUGUUGGUGGGGUAGUGGCUUACCAAGGCUUUGACGGGUAGCCGGCCUGAGAGGGUGACCGGCCACAUUGGGACUGGGAUACGGCCCAGACUCCUACGGGAGGCAGCAGUGGGGAAUAUUGCACAAUGGGCGGAAGCCUGAUGCAGCAACGCCGCGUGCGGGAUGACGGCCUUCGGGUUGUAAACCGCUUUCGCCUGUGACGAAGCGUGAGUGACGGUAAUGGAUAAAGAAGCACCGGCUAACUACGUG